RNAcentral lists this long non-coding RNA (568 nucleotides) under Homo sapiens (human). Its description in RNAcentral is "lncAB38.1". Lineage: Eukaryota; Metazoa; Chordata; Mammalia; Primates; Hominidae. The record is from RNAcentral.
AUUUGUUUGGCACUUUAAAAAUAGAGGAGUAAGCAGGACUGGAGAGGCCAGAGAAGAUACCAAAAUUGGCAGGGAGAGACCAUUUGGCGCCAGUCCCCUAGGAGAUGGGAGGAGGGAGAUAGGUAUGAGGGUAGGCGCUAAGAAGAGUAGGAGGGGUCCACUCCAAGUGGCAGGGUGCUGAAAUGGGCUAGGACCAACAGGACACUGACUCUAGGUUUAUGACCUGUCCAUACCCGUUCCACAGCAGCUGGGUACCCACCUCCAGCCUCCCAUGUGAGCCUGUCCUUAUGUAUAGUGUCCAACCUCUGAUUCUAGCAGUCAAGUGUCUUCCCCAAUCCUAAUGUCCCCUGAUAUGUCUCUAGCGACUUGACCAUCUCUUGUUCCUUGGGACUGGGGCCAGCCUCUUGUCUGCCCACUUCCCUCUCAUUAGUCAGAUAGCCCCAAAGGCUCUAUCUUUAGCUCCCAGAGAACUUUUUGGUCCUCAGUAUUUCCCUUCCCCUUUCCUUCCUAUUCCCCACAACUGGGGGAGGGAAGGGAGAACAGGGGCACCUGAUCAUCAAUCUCCCCU